AAGCGCUUGCAACUAGACUUGCGCGCGGUCGAUCAACCGGGGUUCUCCCCGGGGCACUCGGCCGCGCUCAGGCCAGCAUCGUUUUCGGUGGUUGGAUAAAAGUUUUGGGAAUGUAGCUUCUUUCGGGGAGUGUUAUAGCCCUUGACAUAAUGCAGCCUACCGGGAGCGAGGACCGCGCUUCGGCUAGGAUGCUGGCGUAAUAGUUGUAAGCG
Molecule: ribosomal RNA, 212 nt
Filed under: Dermateaceae sp.
Lineage: Eukaryota; Fungi; Ascomycota; Leotiomycetes; Helotiales; Dermateaceae
Description: partial large subunit ribosomal RNA
Source: RNAcentral